CCUACGGGAGGCAGCAGUGAGGAAUUUUCCGCAAUGGGCGAAAGCCUGACGGAGCAAUGCCGCGUGGAGGAGGAAGGCCUGUGGGUCGUAAACUCCUUUUCUCAGAGAAGAAGUUCUGACGGUAUCUGAGGAAUAAGCAUCGGCUAACUCUGUGCCAGCAGCCGCGGUAAUACAGGGGAUGCAAGCGUUAUCCGGAAUUAUUGGGCGUAAAGCGUCCUGAGGUGGCUUACCCAGUCGACUGUGAAAGCUCAAGGCUUAACCUUGAAACGGCAGUCGAAACUUGUAGGCUUGAGUACGGUAGGGGCAGAGGGAAUUCCCGGAGGAGAGGUGAAAUUCGUAGAUAUCGGGAGGAAGGCCAAAGGCGAAAGCACUCUGCUGGGCCGAUUACUGACACUGACAGACGAAAGCUAGGGGAGCGAAAGGGAUUAGAUACCCCUGUAGUCCUAGCCGUAAACGAUGGAUACUAAGUGUUGCGCGACUCAAAACGUGCAGUGCUGCAGCUAACGCGGUAAGUAUCCCGCCUGGGGAGUAUGCCCGCAAGGGUGAAACUUAAAGGAAUUGACGG
Molecule: ribosomal RNA, 565 nt
Filed under: uncultured bacterium
Lineage: Bacteria
Description: bacterial SSU rRNA
Rfam family: Bacterial small subunit ribosomal RNA
Source: RNAcentral